This 232-nucleotide ribosomal RNA is filed under the name uncultured bacterium. RNAcentral describes it as "partial 16S ribosomal RNA". It matches the Rfam family "Bacterial small subunit ribosomal RNA", at positions 104 to 334 of the family's 1533-position model. The record is from RNAcentral.
CGGGGUGAGUAACGCGUGGGUAACCUGCCUCAUACAGGGGGAUAACAGUUAGAAAUGACUGCUAAUACCGCAUAAGCACACAGUACCGCAUGGUACAGUGUGAAAAACUCCGGUGGUAUGAGAUGGACCCGCGUCUGAUUAGCUGGUUGGCGGGGUAACGGCCCACCAAGGCGACGAUCAGUAGCCGACCUGAGAGGGUGACCGGCCACAUUGGGACUGAGACACGGCCCAA